This 703-nucleotide ribosomal RNA is filed under the name uncultured bacterium. RNAcentral's name for it is "bacterial SSU rRNA". It matches the Rfam family "Bacterial small subunit ribosomal RNA", at positions 94 to 792 of the family's 1533-position model. The record is from RNAcentral.
ACCGGCGCACGGGUGAGUAACACGUAUGCAACCUGCCCUCCGCAGGGGGAUAACCCGGAGAAAUCCGGACUAAUACCGCGUGGUACACUUGUGGGGCAUCCCACGGGUGUUAAAAGGAAGUGAUUCCGGCGGAGGAUGGGCAUGCGGCGCAUUAGCUGGUUGGCGGGGUAACGGCCCACCAAGGCGACGAUGCGUAGGGGUUCUGAGAGGAAGGUCCCCCACACUGGUACUGAGACACGGACCAGACUCCUACGGGAGGCAGCAGUGAGGAAUAUUGGUCAAUGGGCGGGAGCCUGAACCAGCCAAGUCGCGUGAGGGAAGACGGUCCUAUGGAUUGUAAACCUCUUUAGGCGGGGAGCAAUGCCGGGCACGCGUGCCCGGAGGGAGAGUACCCGCAGAAUAAGCAUCGGCUAACUCCGUGCCAGCAGCCGCGGUAAUACGGAGGAUGCGAGCGUUAUCCGGAUUUAUUGGGUUUAAAGGGUGCGUGGGCGGAUUUUUAAGUCAGCGGUAAAAUGUCCGGGCUCAACCCGGGCCGGCCGUUGAAACUGGGGAUCUUGAGUGGGCGAGAAGUAUGCGGAAUGCGUGGUGUAGCGGUGAAAUGCAUAGAUAUCACGCAGAACUCCGAUUGCGAAGGCAGCAUACCGGCGCCCGACUGACGCUGAGGCACGAAAGCGUGGGGAUCGACAGGAUAGAUACCCUGNUA